Non-coding RNA from Variovorax sp. WDL1, 74 nucleotides. The record is from Rfam. NCBI's taxonomy places the organism in Bacteria, Pseudomonadati, Pseudomonadota, Betaproteobacteria, Burkholderiales, Comamonadaceae.
AGGCGCGUAGCUCAGCUGGUUAGAGCACCACCUUGACAUGGUGGGGGUCGUUGGUUCGAGUCCAAUCGCGCCUA